UGGAAGAUAGGUUUUAUUUUAUCAAAUAUUUAACUUCGAAGUUGGAGAAAAAGGAAGCCAUCUCCAACUAAUCGAAGAGGCAGUUAUAAUCUGAGAAUCACUAGCUUCUGCUAUUAUAUGAGACCCCACAAACCUACCCUUCUCUUCAUCACUGGCCCAUCAUAUUCAUAUCUCAAAUAAUGAAACUCCCUUUUACAGACCAUGAAAUAAUCACUUUUCCAAUAAAUUUUAGCUCUUUGAGCAGAUGAUUACAGCCUUUAAAUCCAUGGCCCAUAUGGGAUUACCUCAUAUGGCACAACACAAACCUACCAAGCUUGUCCUUAGAGUAACCUACAAAUCCUAAAUUUUAGGAGUUUCUGUUUUAUCUGGCUCAGUCUUCUCCCUUUUCAUCAGGCUCCCCAUGCCACCAUGUCAAUGUUUCAUUUGAUAUGUGGCAUCUGGGGACUCUUGUCUUUGAGUUGUUGUACAGUUGUGGGUUGUUCUUCAUGCUGUUUGUAUCAGUUUUUUCAACAAAGCAAUCGAAGAUUUGAACAGAAAACUGAUAGGUUUUGGAAGUUCAGUGAAAUAGAUGGAAGAUGGGUUGAAGUGCAACUGCCUUGUGAUCUGUUAUCUAGUGGUAAUAGCAAGUGUAGUAAAGUUAACAGCAAAGAAGAAAGCUUGAAACAAGAACAUGGAUUUGAUGACAAAAAGAUAAGUCUGAACAGAAAGGAUGAUAAAAAAGGAGUAGAGGAAACCUUGGAAGUGGUUCUGCCUCUGAGAAAGAGGAUUUCCUUGACCAAAAUGUCUGAGACAUCUGUGUGGAUCACUGGUGAAAGUGGGUGUAUCUAUGAGAGGUUUUGGAAUGGACUAGAAUGGGUGAUAGCCCCUCAUGAGCUGCCAAUAUCAGCAGGACGUGCAGUUGCAGUUUUUAUCAUCAAUCAAAUAAUUCUUGCUCUAUCUGAAGCAGGAAAUCUGUAUCAGAUGCAUGUGCAACUUGGAGAAACCUCUCAACCAGUUUGGGUUGAAUUCUCACCUACACUCAAUCAAAUCACAGAUGAUAUAGAGAAAAAUUCUUUGAUAUUAAUUAAGUCUGGCAUGGUGUCAGAUGAUAGACUGAGAGCUUAUUUCUGCACUAGGAAUGGAACAUUGGUGGAACUAUCUGGGGAAGAGCCUACAAGAGCAGAUGGACAAAUCAUGGCCAACCAACCGGAGCAAAUUUAGCAGCAAUAGCUGCUGUUGAUUUUACACGAGAAGUAGUAUACACCAUAAGUUCUGCUGGUGAUCUUUAUGAAUAUGAUAGAAAAUCAAAACCAUCAUGGAAGAGGCACAUAUGGCAAGAAAAAACGGCACAAGCUGCACCUUUGAUACCAUCUAAAGGGUGCAUUUUACGUGGAUUAAGUGGUGACCAUUCUGAAUCUCUGUUUCUUUUAACCAAGGAGGGCACUUUGGUGGAGAGAAGAUUACAUCAAAGGAAGUGGAAAUGGAUAGUCCAUGGAAGUCCCCAUCAUCAAACUUUGACAUCUAUUACACCAGCUUUGCAGGAUGAAUUAAGUGAAACUUUAGUUUCUUUAUUCUUUACUACUUCAGCUGGAUCUGUUUUUGAAUAUCAAAGGCCAAAACAAUUAGGCACUGUUCCAAAUAAUCAGUUUCCAGGAGCAUGGGGAAGUCAUCAGCAUCCCUUACAUGCAAAAGCAGCAAGAGGUAUAACCGGCUUACCAUUACAAGUUGGGAGGAUACUAUUUGCACUCGAUGAUGGUAGACUUGCAGAAUUACAUUUAGUAGGACUAGGUGGUGAAAGUUCAGGACCAUUUGUACCUCAAAACUUUCGAAGGAAAGCAUCAACUAAAUAUGUUUGGACCAUAUUAGAUGUGCCAGAGAGUGAAGGAUGGAAUGCAGAAUAUUGCACAGAAGAACGUGGCCCCCGGAAUUGUAUGGCAGGAAUAAAAGAUGAGUCAAAGGAUUCAGGACUAAGUUCAGUAACAGGUAGGAGAAAGCAAAGCCAAGCACAAAAUCAUUACUUAUCUCUAGGCACAGGUGGUGAACCGAUUAAAUCUUCAGAAGAAUACAAUCUGCCAGAUGAUUGGAUUAGUAGUAACUUUCGCUUAAGGUUGAUGUAUGAAGGCAAGUCGUUUUUCAUAAUAACAAAUGAUGGUUUGAUUUUUGAAUACAUUUGUAUUGAGAGUGUAUGGGUAUGGUUGAGGCAUGAUAGCUCCACAGCUAUGAAUGGUAUAGUUGGGAACUAUAAUGGAAGUUUAUUCAUGGUUGAUACAUUUGGGAGUUUGCUGCUUAGAGAAUGGAGUGACAAUGAGAUAGCAUGGAGGAAUUGCACUGCAAUGAGGAAAGGAAGAAACAUUAUUGGAGGUCCACCAUGGGAUAGAUUACCAGGUAAAGGAAAGAGGGUCACAACUGAAGAUUCACUCUUCUUUGUGAGCAAAAAUGGAAGAUUACUGCAGUUCAUGGUAGGUAAACAGUAACACAAUUACUCAGAUGAAAAAAGAAGUCCAAGAUGACAGUAUACUUGCAAACUAUCUACUUUUUAAUUGCUUAGAAUAGUUAAACACUUCAAGUGACAAGGCUCAAUAAAUGUAUGCUGGAAGUGUGAAGGAAUAAGAAAACUUUAAAAAGUGUUUAGGUAAAGAACUUGAAUGAUUCCAUGUCCCUAGCAAAAGGAUAAUACCUUUUGAACCCUUGAGAACCUUUCUUUCCUGAAAAGUUCAUCACUUUACAAUUGAAAGCAACUAGCACCAACAAAUUAAUUCAACGUAGUCAAAUAAAAGUCAUAAUCAUCAUCAUCAACUUCGCUUAUUCAUAUAUAUUUAAUUGAAUAGCAAGUUUUAUUCAACACACGCACAUGGAUAAAUCUUAAGAUACGAAGUAACUGUUUACAUGUUCUACCCAGGUUUACAUGGGGAAGUUUAAAUGGAAAGAUUGCAGAAAUCCUCAAAAUGUUAAAGUUGCAAGUAUAGUUGACCAGGAAUUGUUCAGGGAAAAUAUAGUCUUUGUCACUGGAAGAAAUGGUCGCCUAUACCAGUAUAAUAAAGUGACUGAUUUGUGGCAUGAGCAUUACCAGUCUCGGCAUUUGAUUCUAUCACAGUUUCCUGGAACAGUUAUAAGACAAUCAUCAAAAUCACUCUCAGGCUCUCUCUUCAUGCUUUCAAGAGAAGGUGGCCUUGUUGAGUACCACUGGAAUACAUGGUAUUCAUGGAACUGGGUGGAACAUGGGACACCCUAUAAGGGUGUAACACUGGUUGGUUCACCUGGUCCUAGCUUUGAAGGCAAUCAACUACUUUUGAUUGGUUCAGAUGGAAAAGUAUACCUGAGAUACAUGGACAACAAUGCAUGGAAGUGGAAGGAUUAUGGUUUCCCCUCUAUGAGAAAUAAAAUUGUUGAGGCACAUAGUGAAGGAGGAAUCAAUGAGGAGAAAGCAGUUCAGAUUGAUGGAAAGUGUGCAUCUGGAUUGAACAAAGACCAAGAGAACCAUGAUGAUUUGAACUUCAACUGUGACUCAAAGGUGGCAUCUACAAGACCAAUUCCAUUUUCUGAAGGUUCUGUCAUAUUUGAGCUCAGAGAUGGCAGGUUAGCAGAAUUACAACUUGUAGAGGAGGCAGAAUGGAUUUGGUCAAGGAUCAUUGGCACUCCAAACAGUUUAUGCUUAGAAAAUUAUUGGAUUACAGUUGCAUCAUCAUAAGGUUGUCUGCAAUAUCUCAUAAGACAACGAAUGAUCAGAUAGAAGCAUUUGAUGUACAGUUCAGAGAGACAUUCUAGUUACAACUGAAGGGUUGACCUUCUUAUCUCCACCAGAGGCUGAAAUCGGUACUGUUGAUGUAAAAAACGCAGGGGAAAUGAGCCUUCUGAUCACUUGUAACAAACAUGUACAAAAUAAAAUACUGGCUACAGCAAGAAAGUAUGAAUGAGACAGUAUGCCCCAAUCAAUCCCUUAUUGUAUAGAUUAAUAUAAAAAUGCAGGCUUAGAUUAACCCCUUUUUUAGACAAAUAAUUAUGUUUUUAAAUUUUAUGAUUUUUCAUAGAA
This is an RNA transcript of Abrus precatorius (Indian licorice), 4009 nucleotides long. RefSeq lists it as uncharacterized. The transcript has 9 exons. Lineage: Eukaryota; Viridiplantae; Streptophyta; Magnoliopsida; Fabales; Fabaceae. The record is from RefSeq and is a predicted model, not a curated record.